Molecule: transfer-messenger RNA, 384 nt
Filed under: Caedimonadaceae bacterium
Lineage: Bacteria; Pseudomonadati; Pseudomonadota; Alphaproteobacteria; Holosporales; Caedimonadaceae
Rfam family: Alphaproteobacteria transfer-messenger RNA
About the family: Bacterial tmRNA, also known as 10Sa RNA or SsrA, is named for its dual tRNA and mRNA-like properties. Its role is to liberate the mRNA from a stalled ribosome. To accomplish this part of the tmRNA is used as a reading frame that ends in a translation stop signal.
Source: RNAcentral
AUCAUUGAAAAUUAUUAAAAAAAUGCCUAUAAUUAAGAUGCUAGGUAACUAGCUAUGGUGAUAAAAGCUAUAUGAAAUAGAUGGAGCGGACCCGGGGGCGGUACCCGGCGCCUCCACCAAAGUCUUUUUUAAAAGAUUUUGGCGGGGGCGAAAUAGCAUCGACGUACGUUGAAAGAUAUAGUGUUUACCCGGUAUUGUACCACCGUUAUCGGGCUUUUUAAACUAAGUGCAAACACAAAGAAAGCACUCGUUUUGUCAAAUGUUAAAGGUAUGAUCAAGCAACCUGCUAUGGGUCUUGCUCAACCUGCAGCUACUGCAUCAGUCGCUGCGUAACGUAGUAUGAAACGCGGUUGGAGGGGCACCGGGCAACAGAAGCCCCUCGCU